ACGAACGCUGGCGGCGUGCUUAACACAUGCCAGUCGAACGGAAAGGCCCUGCGUUUGUGGGGUGCUCGAGUGGCGAACGGGUGAGUAACACGUGAGUAACCUGCCCUUGACUUUGGGAUAACUUCAGGAAACUGGGGCUAAUACCGGAUAGGAGCUCCUGCUGCAUGGUGGGGGUUGGAAAGUUUCGGCGGUUGGGGAUGGACUCGCGGCUUAUCAGCUUGUUGGUGGGGGAGUGGCUUACCAAGGCUUUGACGGGUAGCCGGCCUGAGAGGGUGACCGGCCACAUUGGGACUGAGAUACGGCCCAGACUCCUACGGGAGGCAGCAGUGGGGAAUAUUGCACAAUGGGCGGAAGCCUGAUGCAGCAACGCCGCGUGCGGGAUGACGGCCUUCGGGUUGUAAACCGCUUUCGCCUGUGACGAAGCGUGAGUGACGGUAAUGGGUAAAGAAGCACCGGCUAACUACGUG
Molecule: ribosomal RNA, 467 nt
Filed under: uncultured bacterium
Lineage: Bacteria
Description: partial 16S ribosomal RNA
Rfam family: Bacterial small subunit ribosomal RNA
Source: RNAcentral